This 72-nucleotide transfer RNA is filed under the name Camelus dromedarius (Arabian camel). It matches the Rfam family "tRNA". Rfam says of the family: Transfer RNA (tRNA) molecules are approximately 80 nucleotides in length. RNAcentral also lists the same sequence under 1 other name. The record is from Rfam by way of RNAcentral. Lineage: Eukaryota; Metazoa; Chordata; Mammalia; Artiodactyla; Camelidae.
GAAGGUAUAGCUCAGUGGUAGAGUGCGUGCUUAGCAUGCAUGACAUCCUGGGUUCAAUCCCCAGUACCUCCA